CUAAUAUCACUAAUAAUGAACUCUUACUUUAUUCAUAGAUCUAAAAGAUAGUUUAUUUCUUGCUCCUCUAAUUUGUUUAUGACAUGACCUUUUUAUCUAAAUCAUAUUUUCAUUUGGAGUUUAUCUUGGCAUAUAGCAUGACAUAUUGAUCUAAACCCAAUUUUUGCUAAACCACUUUCCAGUUUUUCCAGUAGUUUUUGUCAAAUAAUAAAUUCUUACUCUAGAAACUGAGGUCUUUGGCUUCAACAAAUGAAAAGCUGCUAAAGUCCAUUUGUUUCUGUAUGUUGUGUAACUAAUCUGUUCCACUAAUUGGAUUAACCUCUAUUUUUUUUUGCUAGUACCAAAUCAUUUUGACUAGUAAAUGACUGAAUAAAAGAUAGCUAUUAAAGAAUUUACACUUACAAAUUUUGAUUACUUAAAAACAACAACAAAGACAAUGCAGCUAAAAUUAGAAAUGAAAUAGUGAACUUAAAAAAAUCAAGUUUCUCUGGUUAAGGCCUAAUUUCUAAAACAAAUAAGGACUUUAUUCAAAUAUAUAAGAUCAAGAAACACUUUCAAAUUGACAAGUGGUCAAAGUACAUGAAAAGAUAGUUGACAAAAGAAGAAUGCUAGGCUAUUGAUAUCUAUAUGAAAUAUACUUCAAUUUGUUUCUGUAUGAAUGAUGAAAUGUACAUUUUCAGGAAACCAGAGAUGACUUACAUAAACUGAUGCAGAUAAAGUGAAGAGAAUCAAAACUAUUCAUACUAGAAUUGCAUUUUAAAGAUAAUUUUGAAAGACUUGAGAACUAACUGUGAUUCCAGAGGACCAUCUUCCUGACCUUUUAACAGAAUGAGGAUAGAUUUAAGAAGCAGACUGGCCCAUAUUUUUGAAGAUGGAAAACAAUGUCCACUGAUUUCAUAUUAUACUCCUCAUGAGGAGGGAAGUAAGAAGCCCUUGAUGAAUCUAUUAUGCAACUGAACUCUAAUUACAUGAGAAAAAGUAUUAUUUGAAUCUUUGACCAACCCUUCAACAAAUAGUACCUUUCAAACAAUGGAUAAUAAUAAAGAUGGCAUCUCAUGAAAAGAUCA
RNAcentral lists this long non-coding RNA (1067 nucleotides) under Monodelphis domestica (gray short-tailed opossum). RNAcentral's name for it is "lncRNA (ENSMODG00000038746.1)". Lineage: Eukaryota; Metazoa; Chordata; Mammalia; Didelphimorphia; Didelphidae. The record is from RNAcentral.